ACCGCGUAUAAAAUCUACCUUGGAAUUGUAGCAAUCGUCAAUGACGUCCACAAGGUUGACAAAUGACGGUCUAAGGUGCAGAUUAUUAACGUCUGACCAUUACUCCACCAUGAUUUCAGAAUUAGACGCCCCUAAGCAUUCUCGACGGCGGUGCCGGGAUGCAGACUGGCACAGCGGCGGCAACCGACACUGCGAUUCGCGGUACUCAAAACAACAUUCCUCGUCAUGCGUAAUCCACGCCAAUCACCCCGACCGAUGGGGUCCUGUCCCAGCACCUACACAACCCACCAUCUACACCUCCGCCUCCGGGAUGCGCCACACCCAUGUCUCCACACCACACACUCCGCAUCGUACAGAACAAGAAUAUUGACUUCAUUUAAAUUACAUUGCCUGCUUACAGUUUCAUACUCUCAUCUUCCGACUACAAUCAACAUCCUACUUCACUUCGAAAACGUGUCGAAGAUUGUGGUGUGCAGGGGGUCCGCCAGGUGAGUGGCCCAGUUGUCCAGGGGUCCCUUGCCCGUGGCAGCGGCCUGCGCUGCGAAACCCAAAGCGGCAACCAUCGCCAGCCUCGCGUGCUUGAUUUCGGCUAAUUUCAAUGUCUCCUUCUUGUCCUCCGUGUCCGCGAAGUUCAGUGGGUCGAAGAACUUCCCGCCCGGAUAAAGACGCUUCUCGGGGUCCAGCUCCGCGUUCCUCUGGAACUCGAUGAAUCCCACCAAAAAUGCCUCGAUGUAAACCAGGCUGGUGAUGCUGAACGGCAGGGGCAGCCCGAAGUAUGAAGCACCGUCCACCAACUCAACCUGUACUCCCAUUGCAACCGACCCGCGUCAGCCACAUACCCAUUGCUCGUGCAUUCCGACCCACCAAAUCCCUCAUCACUCAUCACCCACCGAACACGCCAGACAACAUUCUUCAUGAGUCCAACCACAACUCCGGACGUACCCGCUCAAUCAUUUACAAACAAUGCGUCGGCGACAGGCACCGUCACGCUAGGGCUCCUAAUCGGGAUCCUCACGGCCUUCGACUCACACCUUCUCGCACGGCUAGCAAACCAAGCCGGUGCUCGUAAUCAAACAGGGGCACUCUCCCACUCACCGACACCAACACCAACAAUUCUCGACUUACAACACAAUGAGAAGCCCUACCUUGCCGGCAUCUUGCCAUGUCACGCCCGUGAACGCCUCCACGGACAGGGCCCCCAAUAUGGCAAGCAUGGCCCAGCGCCCGUGGAUCAGCUCGCAUUCCCUGAACCUCUGCAGGCCGAACACCUCGCUGUACGGCUGGAACGGGGUUGGGGCGAUCUCCUCCUUCUUCGAGAUGCGGGUUCCGAUCACAUCUCCGGCCUCGUUCUUGGCCAGGUUCUGGUUCAGCGAGUCCAGCUCAAUCUGCAGGUACUCCGGGCUCUUGCCCAGGCUCAAGGGGUCGAAUCCGUAGUCUCCGGGGAGGGAUCCGUCCAGCCACUCGGGCGCCUGCGCGCCGGGGAACCACAGCGGCCUGCCAGCGCCGGAGCCCGAAGCCUUCUUCACCGCCUUGGACGCGGCCUUGGCAGCCUGCUUGGCCUUGCCCGGCACCGAGAACCUGGCCACCACGCGCGACCCAUUCUGCACGCCCAGUCGCUCCACGGACCUCACGAACGACGACGACGCGAUGCUCGCGCACCUCACUGCCUGCGCCAUCGCUGCGAUUUGCUCGAACACUUCCCUCUCAGAGCCGGUCACAACGCUCGAUGGGUCAGUAUGAUCAGCAGUUCUGUCCGAGUGCAAGAUGUGGCGAGCUCAAGUUUUUCUGGAUACGGUCAAGAUUGCGUUGGGUUGGAAACGAUAUCCUACUGCUCUCAUGCGUGUGGCCGAGAGACGGUGCUGCGGCGCUCCCGACCAACCAGGGAUCCCCUCAUCCUGCCCCACUCUCCGACGGAAUAUCGGCGAACUUCGUUGCAUUGGACGCAUAGUUUUGGCGAUUCGUCUUUGGCUGUGAGAGUUGCAGUGGGUCUUUAUUGGCUGUGCUGUUAGAUUCCUCAAGGUGGGUUAUCCACACUUGGUCUUUGUUUAUUCUUUUCCCUUUGGAUAUGGAAUACUUCCUGCAUGGGUUUCGCAGCCUUUUAAAUUUGGCUUGCAUUGGAUGUAUGAUCGUUGAAACCUUUCGUGUGUAUACGUUGUUUCUUGAGCUGAGGAUAAUUUUCAUUCACAUUAGUUGGAACGUUCAUGAGCUUACCUACACAGUAUCCUACAUUGAGCAUGUUUUAUUUCAAUUUGUUGUGUUUUUUUCUUCUACGAGAGUCUCCUAAUUGCAUUCAGAACUGUGUCUUUCUAUGUCUGAUUGAUUUUAACAAAAUAUUAGAAAUUGGGCUUAGAGUGCUUAAAGUGUUAAUUUCAUCAAUUGAAAUUAUUUAUUAUACCCUUCUAUACAGUACAUGUGUUGAACCAUGAGUGCACUGAAAUGGUAUUCUCAUUUUAUGCUGUAGUAUUUUUAUUAUUUAUUAUAUUUGCAAAACUUAUGAAGAAAGCAUUGUUUUUAAAGAAGUUUCAUGUAAUGUUGUAAAAAUUCUCAAAACAAUGUUUUGUAGGAAUUUUAAAAUUAUACACUUGUAAUCAUGUGGUGGAUAUUGAAUUCUUUUCUUGUUUAUUUAUUCAUUUGCUCAUUUUCUCAUUCACUCAUCCAUUUGUGUGUUUAUGUAUGUAUGUAUAUAUAUAUAUAUAUAUAUAUAUACAUAUAUAUAAAGAGAGAGAGAGAGCCAGAGAUAUUUGAAUCAGUAUACCUGUUUAUCCUGAUGAUUAUAAAUCAAAUUGUAGAUUGAGUUUAUGAUGUGUGUAAAACUUCAAAACAUACAAAUUCACUAUUAUAGAAAUGUCAAAUAUCGCACAUACUUCUUGAGAUUUUCUUAAAUUUUUUAACAAAGUAUUAUUUGAAGACGUCCAAAUCUAAAUAAAUAAAUAAGUAAUAGAAUUCAUGCAUUGAGAACAGAAAGUUAUAUAAUGGACCCAGUCAUAAGUUUGAUGCAUGUAGUGUAAAUCAAUCUUUUUUGGUACUGAAAGCACAAAGUUUCAAUACACAUCAUUUACUGUUACUUGUUCAUAUAUACUUACAGAAAAGUAUUUAGUACAAUUUUAAUAACACCAUAAAACCAAUAAUGCUAUUGCUUGAUGAUGAGAACAUAAAUCACUCUCUCUACAUACGAUUUCUACAUACAAGAGAAUGUUUGACAAUGUGCAAGGCACUAAGCAUCUAAAACCCGUCAAAGGACAAGAUCUACAUAUUUCAUGUGAUAUUAAAGAAAAUGGAUAUGAAGACUAUGGCAGCUUAAUAAUAAUAAUAAUAGUAGUGAACAAAAAAAAAACAAAAAAAAACAACAACAACAACAACAACAAUGAAGUUUUUGAUGUGCUCUCAAAUUUAUAUUUUAAAAAAACAAAGGAGAUACUAACAACAUAUAAUUAACAUGAGCAUGAGAAAUAAAUUAUUCACAUAUUUGAUUGAAAUGGCGCACUUGAAAUAUCAAAUAUUUAAAAAAUAUUUAUUUUAUUUAAAUGGAUACAAAGUUGAAUGUCUACAUUACAGUUUCACAAUCCAAUAUUGUAUGUGUUGGUAAUAGAAGUAAAGUGAGAUGAUCUGCAAAGUUUUUGUUAGUUGAAUUAUUUAUACACAUCACAUAAACAUCAUAGUUAAGUUUUUUUUUAAAAAAAUAUAUUUAUAUAUAUAUAUAUAUAUAUAUAUAUACUUUAAACAACCAUUACUCAAACAUAUUUAUAAUGCAGAAUUUUUUACAUGAUUUUGGUAACUUUGAUGACUUGAUUUUGGCCAUUUUUCUUAGUAAUAUGUUGCAGCUCUGCAUUAAAGUAUAAUAAAAACAUUAUAUCACUGAAGUAAUGUAUAAUUUUUUUUUAUAUAUACUCUCUUUUUUUUUGAUAAAAACAAGAAUACAUUAAAAAAAAAUUGUUCAAAAAUGUUCAGGACAAUAUUUACCAUUUGUGAAGAUCAUAAGGAUUGCUUCCAUUAAUUAUACAGGUGAGUAAUUUUUAGACAAUUAAAUAUUGAUGUGCAUAGAAAUUAGGUUCUUUAGGUAUUUUUAAAGUAUAUAUUUGAUUUGAAAGUAAGUACAUCAGCCCACAUUCUACAUAAGUAAGAUUAAGCUGAUCAAUAAAAUUAUUCUUAUUACAAUCAAAGUAUUGAUUUUUUGUGGGAUAUAUUCAAUCCAUAAAUUGAUAGCAACUUGACUUUAGAAUAUGCUCAAAUUUUAGAAUUAGAAUAAGUUAUUAAUAAUAAUAAAAAGAAUCAGCUUCUAUUUUGGCUUUAAACCUUUAAAGCUCUCUUUCCAAGAAAAUGAUAAGCUUAGAAGAAGCAAAACAAAAGUUAUCAAAUACUUUAGAUUGUCAUUAACAAACAUGAUAAAACUAUGUGUUGUUCAUAAGAUUGGUCCUAUAAAGUCUAAAAGAUUGUUUUAAAUCUUUAUUUAAUGAUAUGGUAAUCCAAGAUAGAUGGAAAAGUUUGAGAAUGUUAGAGAAUAAGUCUAUAGUAAUAUUUAUAUAAAAUGUUUAUGAACUUAUCAAUGAUUUGAGAGAGAUAAAAGAACUUUCUUUGAUUAUGUCAUUGUUUAAAAGAUAAUGAAGGUACUUCCUUUAAAAUUUGAGAUAUUAAUGUGUAUUAUUAUAAAUGAGCAUAUAUCUUCAAUAUUAGUUGUUUUAACAAGUAGAGUACAAAAAAAAGAAAUAAAAAAGAUUAAAUUAGAUCUAUAUAAAAAAAUAUUAAUAUUUUAAAUUUAAAAUGUAAUUUGUAGACAUUAAAAAUCUAUAUGGCAUCAAGAAGAACAACUCAAAUCAUAUUAUGGAUAUGAAAGCAUAAAAAGUAAAAUAAACCUAGAAUGACAUUAUUAUCAAAAAAACCAACUACUUACUUGAGAUUGUCUUGUACUAGCUGUUAGGGACAUAAUCCUUAGAACCUUCUAGAGACAAGUUUCUAGAACCUUCUAGAAGCAAGUCUCUGGAACCUUCUAGAAGCUUCCAAGUUGGUAGAAGUUGCUUGAGAAGCUUCCUAAAUAGGAGUAUAUAUUGGAAUCGAGGCUGAAGAGUUCUUCAGUCUCGACAACACAUCUCUUGGAGCUCUAGCUCACCUCUCUGGUGUUGUUCUCAUCUGAUUAAUCUAGUUCUUGCCAAUUCUUCUUGAACUUCUUGUUAGAUCUCGAGUCUGUAUUUCUGUGUCCAUGACACUUUGUCGAGGCUUCAUUCACCUCAGAUAUCAGAGCUAGUUUCUUCUUUCUUAGAGUAUGGAUUACCCCUCUGCUUGGAAAAUAUACUAGUAUUUUAGAAGUUACGGAUUACCUUCCUCUAAACUGAUACUUCUUUUGUUACAAUAUUGGAGUCUUAUUCUUCUUGGAGAGAGUGGAUUACUCCUUUUCUUAAAGCUCGUAAGGUAUUUUAGAAGAUGCAGAGUACCCUCCUCUAAACCAAUAUUGUCUUCUUGUAGAGUCAUUUCUGUCCUUCUCUUAGAAGGGCUGGGAGCCAAGACAUUAGUAUGACAGAAAGUUCAGAGUCUAAGUUGCAUGCUAUCAUGAAUGCCCUCGCUACAUUAUCACAAAGAACUGCAGAGAUUGAAGGAGUCGUCGCAAGGCUUCAUAAUGAUGGAGCAUGUGGGAUGGCACAAUCUAGGUUGCACCAGUCUCAAACUUCUGCACUUGGAGAAGCAACUUUGCCUUAAGUUUGACAAGCACCGCUGGUUCUACAACAUAAGGAGCCCCGAGUUAGCCUUCCGCACAAGUUCGAUGGUACGGGUUCCAAGUUUCGAGGAUUCGUCAACCAAAUCAGGUUGAUAACAGUUUUACAGCCCGAACACUAUCCAAUGGAGGAGUCACGUGUUGGGAUUGUUCGAACCUUAUUUACAAGACAAGCUCUAUCAUAGUUUGCUCCUUUGUUUGAGAAACGAUCGUCCAUACUAAACAACUUUGAAACCUUUUUGGAGGCAUUUGUAGAAGCAUUUGGUGAACACAACAAGGUUUGAUGGGCUACAACAAAGAUCCGGUCGCUACAACAAGAGAUGCGCUCUACAUCAUUCUAUGCAUCGGACUUCAGGCAAUUAGCAUGCGACAUCAAUUGGGAUGAAGAAGCGUUGAUGAGUCAAUUCUAUUGGGAUUUAAGGGACGAUGUGAAGGAUUUACUGUUAACUCUUCCUGAUCCACAAACGCUCAACAAAACUAUUAGCCAAGCUAUGAAGUGCGAUAACCGCCUAUUCCAAUACCACCAAGACCAAUAUUCAAGACAACAUACGGUUCGCCACGCCCCAACUAUGUCAGCAAGUAGUAUGAAUUCACAUUCAGAGGUAGAAGACAUGCAAAUUGAUGUGGUACGUGUCAAAUCCCUUACUCUAGAAGAAAAAAAUCGGCGUAUAGAGGAAGGUCUAUGCUUGUAUUACGGUGAAGAAGGCCACAAAGUUGGAAACUGUCCCAAGAAGCAAAAUCGACAUAUUGUCAAGACUAGGGGCGCAUUUAUUCAAGAAAACGAGGAUACCUAGGCACAAUAGGAACCGUGCAGCAGGACAGUGAAAUAUCACAACAACAACCAGGUUCCUUUCUUUCCGCUCAACCUGCCCUUUGUUUUAUAAUCCCUUUGCUUAUUGGCCCUCAAAAACUGAGAACCUUAGCAUUAUUAGAUUCAAGAGCAUCUGCUUGUUUCUUAGACGAAGAAUUUGCAAAGCAUCAUAAGAUCCCUUUAGUACAAAAAUCCAAACUUGUUCACGUUGAAGUUACAGAUAGGCGACCUUUAUUGUCUGGUAGUGUCACUCAUGAAUCAGAACCUAUAGAAGUGACAUUUAAGGGCCAUAGUAGUCAUAUUAUUUUCAAUAUUAUUAGAAUCCCAUCAAAUUCUGUUAUUCUUGGUCUUUUCUGGAUGGAAAAGUAUAACCCAUCUAUAGAUUGGAAGUUGCAAAAGAUGACCUUUUCUCACAAAACCACCCAAGAGCAAGCCUAGGAGAAAACCCCAAAUAGAGAAAUCCUUAUUUAUUAGAGCAAGAGCGUUUAUAAGAUCAUCUAAGGAAGGCACACCGUUUAUCAUUUAUCCGGUUCCAACUACAAGGGAGAAGAUCUCGACAGCAAGUAUACCGGAGCAAUAUAAGGAUUUUAAAGACGUGUUUCAAAAAAAAAAUGCCGACAUGCUAUCGGAACACAGACCAUAUGAUUGUGCCAUAGACUUACGGAAAGGAGCACAACUAUUUUUUGGCCCAAUCUACAAUCUAUCGCAGACUGAGUUGGCGGAGUUGCGGAAGUACAUCGACGAGAAUCUAGCCAAAAACUUCAUCCGUCAUUCAAAAUCGUCAGCUGAAGCACCCAUCUUAUUUGUGAAGAAGAAAGAUGGCUCAUUGCAGAUGUGCAUAGACUAUCGAGGCCUCAACAAGGUAACAAAGAAGAAUCGUUACCCGUUACCCUUGAUUUUUGGUCUCUUAGAAUAACUUGGACGUGCAAGAAUCUUUACAAAAAUUGAUCUAAAGGGAGCUUACAACCUCGUACAAAUAAAGGAAGGAGAUGAGUGGAAGACAGCGUUCUGUACAAGGUAUGGCCAUUUUGAGUACAAUGUCAUUCUCUUUGGUCUUAUUAAUGCCCCGGCGAUCUUUCAACAUAUGAUGAAUGACAUUUUUUGAGAGUACCUUGACAAUUUUUUUGUCAUCUAUUUAGAAGAUAUUCUCAUAUUCUCCAAAAAUGAGGAAGAGCAUGAAAAGUACGUUCGUUUGGUCUUGGAGAAACUAUGCGAGUGACGACUAUAUGCCAAGUUAGAGAAGUGUUUAUUUCACCAAAUAGAGAUGGAGUUUUUGGGGUUCAUUGUGACUAUGGAAGGCUUGAAGAUGGACCCCAAGAAGGUGGAAGCAAUCGUGUCCUGGGAGGUUCAAAGACGGUGAGAGACAUACAAUGCUUUCUUGGCUUUGCCAAUUUCUAUCGGAUCUUCAUCAAGAAUUAUUCUCAAGUUGCUGCUCCUCUCACUCAGUUGACAUGCAAGGAUAAGCUGGAAUGGGGACCUCUAGCGAAGAAGGCAUUUCAAGACCUGAAGACCGCAUUUACUACGACUCCAAUCUUGAUACAUCCAGACUUUACAAAGGCCUUUUAUUUAGAAAUUGAUGCUUUGGAUUUUGCUUUGGAAGCUGUACUUUCACAAAUGGAAGAAGACAAGAAACUCCAUCCGGUUGCAUUCUAUUCUUGGAAGUUCUCUGCUGCUGAAAUCAAUUUUGAAAUCCACGAUAAGGAACUUCUUGCUAUAGUGGAUUCUUUCCAAGAAUGGCAUCACUUUCUUGAAGGAGCUGCACACCCAGUGAUCGUAUACACAGAUCACAAGAAUUUGGAGUAUUUCAUGUCGGCUCAAGUUCUAAAUCGACGUUAAGCUCGGUGGAGUAUGUUGCUAUCUAGGUUCAAUUUUGUUAUCACUUAUCGACUUGGAAAGCAGUAAGGACUAUCUGAUGCCUUAUCGAGGAUUUUGUAACUUGUACCAAAGGCUAGAGAAGGAGCGUUUGAUGAACAAUGUACGACAUUGUUGAAGCUAGAGCAAUUUCAGCUUUGCGCUACUAUUGUGCCAAUUGAUGCUGACUUCUUGAAUCAGGUACGUGCCGCGACCAUUAAAGAUUCAGUAGCCAUUGAUAUCAAGCAUCGUACCUAUGACAAAAAAUUCAAGGUGGAGGGAGAUCUUUUAUACUUUGAGGAGCGGUUGUAUAUCCCAUAAGGACUAGCACGACUCCGAGUUCUUCAAUCUCGCCACGAUUUUCCAACUGCAGAACAUUUUGGAUUCAACAAGACCUUGGAGCUUAUUUCUCGAGAUUUUUAGUGGUCUUAAAUGUGGAAGGAUGUGAAAGAUUUUGUCCUCUCGUGCGACAUCUGUUUAAGAUCCAAGAAUCCUCAGCAUCGCCCUUAUGGACUCCUACAGCCAUUACCGAUUCCAUGUCGACCAUGGUCUUCAGUUUCCAUGGACUUCAUCACAGACCUGCCAUCAUCGAACUCAUUUGACAACAUCUUUGUCGUAGUAGAUCGGCUUAAAAAGAUGGAGCACUUUGUUCCUUGCAAAAAGACAUCGUCCAGUGAAGUUAGAGCAAGGCUCUUUCUCGAUAAUGUGUAUCGAUAUUAUGGACUAUCAGAUGAUAUCAUAUCAGAUCGUGGAACCCAAUUCGUAUCAAAGUUUUGGAGAUCUCUCUUUGAGAUACUUAAGGUGGAUAUCAAACUUUCUUCGGCUUUUUAUCCUCAAACUGCGGGCCAAACGGAACGGAUGAAUCAAGUCUUGGAACAAUACUUAUGAUGCAGUAUCAACUAUCAGCAAAAUGAUUAGACCACAUAUCUGUCGCUAGCCGAGUUUGCAUAUAACAACACCUUCCAUGCGUCGACUCAAUACACACCAUUCUUUUCCAACUAUGGGUAUCAUCCGAAGCUUGAUUUAUUGAGUCUGUCAACAAAUAACAAUCCAGUGGCUGAAGGAUUUGCAAAACAACUAUCAGAGCUUCAAAAUACAUUGAAGCUUCAAUUACAAUCCGUUCAAGAAUCCUACAAGGCGUCUGCACAUAGAUUUCGGAAUUAAGCACCUACUUUCAAAAUUGGAGAUAAAGCAUGGCUUCUUUGACGGAAUAUCAAGACCAAGCAACCAUGUGAUAAGUUGGACUAUCGAAGAUUGGGACCAUUUAUCAUCCAGAAGCAAAUCAAUCGAGUGGCGUACCGUCUGGAAUUAUCGGCUUCUAUGAAGAUACAUCUAGUCUUUCAUGUUUCUCUGUUGGAGCCUUAUCGAGAGUCGUCUUUUCCUAGAAGAGUAUAAUGUCCGCCACCUAGUAUUGAGAUCAAGAACCACGAGGAAUACGAGGUUGAAAAAAUAUUAGAUUUACGACGAAGGUGGCAUAAGUUGGAGUAUCUUGUUCAGUGGUGCGGCUACGACAUUAAUGAGCGAACGUGGGAGCCAGCUGAAAAUCUCGCCAAUACGCUGCAAAAGGUACAGGAGUUUCAUCAACAACAUCCUCAUAAACCUAAGCCGGUUCGACGAUAGCUUCUUUCUGAAGCUUGCUCACCCAAGAAUAUAAGAAAGGGAGAGAGCACCACCAAAAUUUGUAGUUGAUGUAGUUAUUUUCUCUAAGAUAAAAUAGAAUUUUUUCAUUAGCCAUAGUUUGGUCUUCUGAUAUGGAUAGCCAAAAGAUAGAUACUAUCCCAGUCAGUUUAUCUCAAUCGACUAGCUCACGAAGGCGACCCCGAGAUGAAGAACCACCUACACCACGACAACGAGGGAGGAUACCGAGUAACCUUCUAGAAGCUUCCUAGUUAGUAGAAGUUGUUUGAAAAGCUUCCUAAAUAGGAGUAUAUAUUGGAAUCGAGGCUGAAGAGUUCUUCAGUCUUGACAACACAUCUCUUGGAGCUCUAGCUCACCUCUCUGGUGUUGUUCUCAUUUGAUUAAUCUAGUUCUUGCCAGUUCUUCUUGAACUUCUUAUUAGAUCUCGAGUUUGUAUUUCUAUGUUCAUGACACUAGCCCUAAUACUUAGAGAUGUUAGAUUAUAAGCUAAUUAUUUACAAAAAUAUUCAUAGUUAAUUAUUGUAGAUAAAACUUAUAUCAAAUCUCAUAUUAUAAAGAUUCAAGAAGAUAUUAGUAUAUUAUUUAAUUAAAAUAGAACAAGCAAACCACAAAUUGAUUUAUAUGUGACAAGAUAUAAACUAAAUCUUAUGUAAGUUGGAUAGUUUGUUUGCAAUAAUAAUAUUAUUUUUAUUUUUAGUAAAAAUAAGUGUAUUAUGCUUCUUAAGAUACAACCACCUAAUAUCAUGGAUAUAAUUGUUACUAGUCAUUACUUAAAUAAGAGGAGUUAUGUAGAAGUAAGUAAAAAUAAAAAAAAUCAUAUAAUAUCUUAUGAAAAGGUUUUUAGAAGCUUUAUAAAUGCAGAUUUGAUUUUAUAUGUGUUUAUAGGUGAUUUUUAGGUUAAAAACAUAGCCAACAAGUUGGCCUUGUCUUACAUAUGUUGGCCACUUAGUGCAAAUUGGCCAUGUAGUGCACAUAUGGAAAACUUGCCUUGUAAGUUAGAUAUGUGUCAAAGGUCCUAUAUAACAUUUCUACAUAGUUUUUAGUUAAAUAAUAUAUAUGGAAGCAAGAAUGACGCCUCUUUACUCAUGUCAAUUCUUUUUUUUUUUUGCCUCUAAUCUAGUUUCAAGAAUUUUUAAUCUAUUAAUCUUUGGCAAUAGCCAUUCAAAUUUCUUCUAAAAUAUAUAUGUUUUUUUUUCCUCAUCUCUCUUUGAUAUAAGUCUCACUUAUUUAUUUAUAUUUAUUGAGUUCUUAUCCUUGGUACAUAAGCUAAUUAUUAUUUGUUACUAAAACUCAAAAUCAAAACUUUAUUAAUAAACUAAUCAUAGAAGUUGUUUAGUUUCAAAAUCAAGUUUUUUUUUUUUUUUUUUUUUUUUUUACCUCUUAAUAUCACAUGUAGUAGUAAUUUCUUUGCAUUAAUAGUAGAAGAAUGCAAUACCUCUUGUCGAAGAAAAUUAUUGAGAUUUUUUAUACCUGAGUCCUCAGAUAAACCUUUAUAUCUUUGGUACUAUUGCCUUGGGUACAUAAGAUUCUCAAAUCUCAAUAAAAUAGAUUCAACAAAACAUGGCUGUAGUUUAUAUGCAUUUAUAAUAAAAAAAAAAUUGUAUGUCUAUAUUACUUUGAAUACAAAUAAAUACGAGUGUCUAUAAUAAAGAGCAAAGUCUUAAAAUUAAAAAAUGUACUAGAUUUAAUUUAUACAUAUAUAAUUAUAUUUCUUCUUAUUAAAUUACUAGAUAAAAUAAGAUACUUCUUCACAUUCAUUAAUAAUUAUAGCAAAAAAAUGUGAUUCUAUUUUUUAAAAUUUUAAGAUCAAGUAUUUGAUAGAUUUUACAAACUCAAGGCUAUAAUAGAAAAAAAAAUUAGUCUUAUUAUUAAAGUCUUCAAUGUAGAUAAAAAAAAAAAAAAAAAAUUCUUCUUAACUAUUUUAAUUAAAAUUUGUCAAUACUAAGGCAUUUUUCAACAAUUAAUUCAAGUGUACACUUCAUAUCAAAAUGAGAUGGCUGAAUAAUGUAAUUGAACCAUUUUAAAAUAAGUUUGUACCAUGUUCUUGUCAAGAUGAGUCUUUAAUAAGCUCUAGCCAAUGAAAGCCAAAACCACAAUAUACUUGUUUAAUAAAACACCUAAUUUGAUAAAUGGCCAUGGAUUAUUUUCUGAAGAGAUAUUUUGAGAAGGUUAUCCAAACUUGAUCAUAUUAAAAUCUUUAAUUUUCUCUCAUGUAGGAUCUUAUGUUAGAAAUAAACUUAAGAAAAAGUCCAUUCUAAAGAGCAUGGUGGCAUAUGAUUAACAUUCAAAGCCCUAUUGCAUUUAUUUACCCUCCACUUAGAAGGUUUUCAUCUCAAGACAUAUUAAUGUAGAUGAAAGAUGUUUUUGUUAUUUAGAUCCUUUAUAUUUUAUUAUUUAUAAUUCACCAUAUACAACUUUAACAAGUGAAGGUAAAGAACUUGAAAAAAAAACUUAAUCAAAUGGAAAUAUCAUGCUCAUUCUAGCUAUACUUUUUAAAAUCAAUUAAUGUUGAACAAAGCAUCCAAUAAUAUUUUCAAAUCUAUAAUAAUUGCUUCAAUUUUCAGAUCAAAACAUAGCAGUAGAAUUUGAUUCUUAUCACAUACUAGAAAUGGUUCAUAUGAGCAUUUCUUAUAAGAAUCUUUAUUAACAUACUUAUCUUUUGAAUGAUACUACAAUAUCAACAUCUUCUUUAAGCAUUGAAUUAUUAUUAAUAUUAGUAAAAAGCUAAAAAAACGAUUCCAGCAAAGCCAACUUAAGACCUCAGCAAGGAAAUAGAUCUAAUAGACUUGAUUGGACAAUAUCAGACAUAAUUAGAUCUGGAAAAACAACAACCUUACAAGUUGGCUCAAAAAUCAUAAAGUGGAUAUUAUAAAAGCUGCCAAGCUAGAAGUAAAUUUAUUUGCUAAAACUUGGAAUUAUCUCGUAUGGAACAAUUCAAUAGUCAAUAAAGUAGAUUCUAUAGAAAAGAACCAAAUAUGAUAUUAUAUUUUAUUGUCACUUAAAAAAUCAACUAUUCCAUCAAAUAGGUUUAUUAUUAUUUUUAUUUUUUAAAUAAAAACUUAAUAGAGAUUUAAAAAUUAAAUUCUAGAUUAAUUUUUAAGAAAUUUUAACAAUAGAAAAGAGUAGAUUUUGAGAAAAAACUUACUCUAUUUAUCUAUUAGAAGAUAAUUAGAUGCUUAUUAGUAUUAGUUGUAUAAAAUAUUUGGAUAUUUUCUCACAUAGAUAUAAUCUUAGUUUUUUACAUGGUCUAUAUAAGAAAAAAAAUUACAUUUUUUAAUUGAAAGGAUUUGUAAUACCAUGUAAAAAAUAUAUAUAUUCUACAAAUUAUUUAAAAUAUAUAUAUAUAUAUAUAUAUAUAUAUAUAUAUAUAUAUACUGCUUGAAAUAUGUCCUUUGAUCUUGGUACACUAAAAUCAACAAAUGCCUCAGAAGAAAAGAAUUUAGAUUUAGACUUAGAGAUCACAAUCUCUAUUUCAAAAUUAUUAGUAGAAUUGUUAUUCUUAUUGUAUUCCAUUUUGAUAAUCUUCUUAUAGUAAAAUAUUCUUUUAAUGCCAUAAAAGAAUUUAAGCUUGAAUUAAGUUCCAAAUUUGUAAUAAUAGAAUAUUAUAGUGAGAUAUUAUAGUGAGAUAUUAUAAUUCAUCUUAAGACUAAGUGUCUUAGAAAAAAAUAAGUUAUUAUUCUUUUUCAAAGAAUUUGUACUUGAAAAAUACAUAAGAUCAAAAAAAGCCAAGAUUUCUAGCUGAGAAAUAGUUUGAUAGGUAGGUGAUGUUAAUUGGCAAAUAAUAUGGAAGAAGAAGAAUAUGAUCUAACUUUCUCUUGAAGAUUGGUGGAUUCUUUAUUGCACUAAACUAUUAGAAGAUUUGACAUCAAGUUUGCUAUUGAUGUAUAUAGUCACUUUAUGUAAAGAUUGUAGGUACCUUAUCUACUAGCAACUAAAAAAAAUUUGAAAUAUAUUUUUGGUACAAUGGAUUAUGGCUUACUAUUUAAAGAAAAAAAAUUGAAUACUUAGAUUGUGAUUUAGGUUAUGAUAUCUAAGAUGCUAUGUCUAUUACAUACAUUAUUUUUAGACUUCCAAAUUUAUCAAUAUGAUUAUUUUCUAAGAAAUAACCUAUAGUAGUUUUUUGUAUCUUUUGAAGCAAAAUAUCAAGCUUUAGUAAAUGCUUCUAGAGAAACCUUAUGUUUGAAUAUAUUCUUCUAAGGUCAAAAUUUUGAUAUAGAGAAAGUAAUAAGACUUCACUAUAAUAAUACAAAAUGUACUUAAAUAGUAAUAAAUUUGAGUGUAAACUCUUGUACCAAACAUAUAGCUAUGCAUUAUUAUUAUACUCGCAAAAAGAUUAAAAGUAGAGAAAUUAACUUAGAUUAUAUACCUUCUUCAAAAAAACUUGUGGAUAUUUUAAUUAAGCCUCUUGGGCAUUUUGUGUUUAAAUGUCUUAGAAAUAGUUUAAACAUUUUUAGUAUUGAUAGAUUCACUAGAAACAAGAAGCCUCACUAAUAAGACACCAUUUGCUUUAGUCAAAUCAGUUAUCUUCUGCUAUGGUUGAUUUUUAUUGUACACACUAUAUUACUCAAACAACACUCUAAAAAACCUUCCUUUUCUUCAUCUGGAGCUUCUUUGCUCUUCUUGAAAAGAUUGCUGAUCAAAACAUGGAGGUUAUUAAUAAACAACCACUUCAAUCUGAGUGUCAACAUUCCACAUUAAUUUUGUCACUUGUCUUCCCUUCAUUACACAUUGAUGUUCACUACAAAGACUGUGUCUGCUUUUUAAGUCCGCUUAAAUCCUCUAGCACUGACUCUGGUCGUUUUGAAUUCUAUGUUGUUUGGAAAUGAAUUCUACUUACACUCUAUUCAUCAUGGUCUGAAUGUGAAUCCCUGUGAAAAAUUACAAAGGUGUUAAAUUCAAAGGUUUUAUGUCACUCUAGGCAGAUCAACAUUAUUUAGUUGCAUAGCAAUUUAGUUUUCUUACUGCUCUUGGUUUUGAUUCUGAAGGGCGAGACUGGGUGUUGAGGAAUUCUGUUGUAUUCUCAGUUAAAAACUUCCAGAGAACCUUGUUCCCUUGACUGACCUUGUAUAUGUUUGCCUUUUGGCACCAGGCAAUUAUGAGUGGUGUGUGUGCAUGUAUUGGCACUGAUUAAGUCAUCACAUCAAAAGUAUGUGCUCUUGGAAUUGAUAUAUUUACAUGUCCAAAUACACUAGUUAUAGAUGUACCUGCAUACAAUAAUACAAACCUCUCAUAAUUUAAAUGUUGUACAUUGGCAUUUCUUGCACAUAACCUAUUAUUUAAAUUCACCUCAUACACAUUAAAUUAAAAAUUACAUACAAUGAAAUAGCAUAUACAUAUAUGUAUGAACAAACAUAGAUAACUUAGCAACAGAAGGCCUUGUCACUAAAUGAGUGUGUGGACGGGCUUCCAGUCCGUGAGGAAGAAGAGGACGAACACAGAAGUUUUGGGUAUUGUUUGUAGAAGAAGUCAUUUUGAAGGGGUUGUAGAUAUUUGUACAUAACUUUGUAGAAAUACCACCUGAACAGCUCCAUCACAUCCCAAAGUAAAAGUAAGAAUCUUCUUUAUGAGAUGGAAUAAGACGGUAUUACAAGACAUUUCACCUUGAUAUUGUUCAGUUUAAGGAAGAGAAGAGGACGAAUUUUGCGUCUUCCAGAUACAAACAAGUAGUUCGGGUUGAAAUUGCAUCAAGGGAAAGCACCACUAUCCUGCAACUGUGCCUCGAUAAGGGGGAAGCGGAUUUCCUCAGUAUGCUAGUAAUUUAUUGUUGCCGUCCAUUUUCCUCACCAUUGACGAACUACGUGUCAGCAGUUGUUUAUUUGUCACAGUUGCGUCUAUUUUGUCAAGCCACUUCAAGAUAAAAUAGCUGUCGACUUUCUGAUCCGAGUUGAGACAUUGUAUCUUGCUACGAUAUUAAAAAAACUUCAAUUUUCCAACGAAGUACUGCAUUGUGAGACGUGUGAAAAACUACAUUUUCGAUCUGUUCUAUAAUCCUCCAUAACAUAACGACAAGUUUGAGACCUUCCUGGACAUUUGGUCCUGAAAAUAGAUAAAUCGAUGGACGAGUUCAGCAUCACUCCAGCAGCAAAGCGUGGAUUAUGCGUAGUGCUUCGAACACGAUUCAAAGCGUACAAAAAUCACAAAAAUCACUUGCAAAACAAUCGAUGAACGAGAGACAUUGUAGCGCGCAGUACGGUACUUAAGCUACACGAAGAUUGCACAGCGAACUAUGCACAUCGCCAUAGUUCCUUUCAUGAAAACAUCAAUCAACUCUCACAAGCCUCAUAUGUCAUAAACCAAUGAAACUCUGAAUUCACACUUACCACAGAAAAGCCGCGCAACUCAGUCUCGUAUACUCUGUCGUAGUAAGCAAAGCCCAGAGAGAUGAAGCAAAUUCUCUUCUAGUAAACAAAUCACACCAUGAAAACGAGUCCCAAGGUUCGACAAUGGCACCAUCUUCUUGUAUUGGUCCUUUCAAGGAAUUCAUACUGAAUUGGAACGCAUACACGCAUCCAGUAGAAAUAGAGUUUGAAGGUAUAAGCAUCCAUGCCUCCUACGACUAGCUCUGCAGAUCCCUUUCCACCGGCAGAAAGUAGUUUGAGGUUGUCACAGGGCAUCAGCAUGAAAAAAAUUCCACCGGGCCUUCGCAGGCUCUGGAGGCAUUACUUGGAACAUUCUUAGCCAAGGCGGUUUUUCAUGUCCCAACGCGCACUAAUGAGCACAAUCCAGGAAGAGUUCAUUAGUAUCCCAAAUUGUUCUACACAAGCCUCUUGUUCCAACAGUGAUUGCUCUGGUUUUUCGCGCGUCCGCUGAGUUCGAUCCUUCAUCUGCUCUGUCACGCCGCCUUCCCAUCCAGCAAAAUUUCUUUGAAGCUUGCAUCAGUUCCUCCACCACUGGUUCGCUUUGUGAACUUGUUUGUGACUGCGAGCUGCCGAGUUUGGUCUCGCAAUCCCCUAGUUAGCGGUCACUUUUGAUUCGUCGUUUCUUACAACUAGCUGAACUCAUCCUGGAUGCACUCCUUGUGGUAUCGCCUAGUUUAGCAUGAAGAGAUGCUGCAGUACCUUGUGAUCUCUGUGUUUGUAUCUUGCAUGGUGUAAUAUCCUUUGCCUUCCUCACUUAUUCCACCCGUAUUACUCCCACUCCACAUGUCAACAGGUCCAUGAAAGACUUGCAUCAAAUUAGAUGACUAUCAUAUCUAUAUUAAUAUAUAUAACUUUGAUGUUUUGCAUGCUGACCAUAGACUUGAAGGAUCUAAAGGGGGAGACACUACAGGAUCCUACACAAUAGAGCAACAAUAUUCUAUUCAAAGAAGCCAUAAAUGAUGCAGGAUUGGAGACAUGCUAUGAUUGAUGAAAUGCAUUCUAUUAAACAAAACAAAACUUGGACUCUCUGGCCCUUACUCUUAAGAAAACGCCCUAUCACAUCCAAAUAGGCUUAAAUCAAAAUUAAACAACUUAUCCAAUAGAAGAAAAAAUAAACAUGUUUGGCAGCUUGAGAUUUCAAACAAACUAUAGUGAUUGAUUUUUUUUAGAACCUUUGCUCUUAUCAUCAAAUGGUCAACAAAUAAAAUUGCAACAACAUUGGUAGCAGCUUACAAAUGGGACAUAUAUAACAUGGAUGUAUAAAAGUCAUUUUAAACUGCUACUUUAAAAAAGAUGUUUGUAUGUGCCAACCUCAAGGUUUUAUUUUCUCAUGCAAUAAAAACUUAGUUUGUAAACUCAAAUAUAGUCUAAAAUAAUCACCUUAGGCAUAGUACAAGAGAAUAGAUAAGAUUCUACAAGACAAAAUAAACAAACAUAGCAACUACAAUGCUAAUAUCUUUAUAUGCAUCAAAAUAGCAAAGUACUUAUUUUAAUGUUCUAUUCAAUGACUUAUUUGUCACAAGCGGUAGUAAUAAUCUAAUCUCUUAGCUCAAAUCCUUCUUACAUAAUACCUUUGAUAUAAUCAAUUUAAAAAAAAUCAAAUAAUAUCUUGGCAUAGCUUUAAUGUAGAGCUUAUAGGAUAUCUUCUUACAUUAGAAAGAAUAUAUAUUUUCCAUCAUUAAGCAAUUUGGAAUAUUCAACUACAAAAAAUCCAAAAUAUCCUUGCCAAAAGAUUAGUAUUAGUUAACAACAUGAAUUCCUCUAACAUUGACUUAACCUAUUAUUUUCAAUUAGUAGAUAAAUUAGUAUAUAAAAAUUAGUAUGUAAAAAUUAGUAUGUAAAAAUUAGUAUAUAAAAAUAGUAUGUAAAAAUUAUUUAGAACAUAUAAUAUAUUUAUAAGACUUGGUAUAUGUUAGAAUGGUUAAUAGAUUAAUUUAAAAAAAAUGGAUUUAAGAAACUUUAUUUUGAGUUUUAUCUUUUUAAUUAUAGCAUUUCAAAAAAAAUUAUAGAAUCUAAAUGUUAGUAUGAAGCCUUGAGAGGAGAUUAGAGCCUAAAGAAGAAAUUCUUAACUAAUAUGAGGCAUAUUGGGAGGGAUGAAAGCAAGGCAUGGUUGGAUGAAGGCAAGGAAUGAGAAACUUUAUUCCUAUUGGUCAAAGGCCAUGCCCAAUGGACUUCAAGGAGGCUGCCCGAGGCCUUAUUAAGGAUUAGGAUUUUUUUUUCAAGGGCAUUUGAGCUUUGGAGGCUAGAGUCAGCAAUUUCAGGAUUUUGGGUAUAAUUUGGGUGAAGAGUUUGUGUGAUUUCGAGUUUUUGUGAAGGAGAUAUAGGUAUUCAAAGUUAAGGUGUCAAAUUUGUAUCUACUAUCUUUCUUUGAAGCAUAACAUAUGCACACGGAGAGCAAUGAAAGUUUGGCGACUAGAGUUGGAGAGAACACUUUCUUAACUAUACUUUACAUAUAUUGUUUGAUGAAUUCCAACUCUAGAUGAAGGAGUUAUAGGGUAUUGAAGACAACAUAUGUAAUUCAAAUAUAUGUAACUAUACUUUACAUAUAUUGUUUGAUGAAUUCCAACUCUAGAUGAAGGAGUUAUAGGGUAUUGAAGACAACAUAUGUAAUUCAAAGGCAGUAAGUGAACCAUUUUGUUGAUAGUAAUGGUUGGAGUCAUAUCUUGAGUUUUUGGACGAACUUUUGGCUCAAAAUUUCCGUAAGUGUGAGUUAUUGAAUUAAAAAGCUAUAGAUCAAAGUUUCAUGGUAUUUAAAUACUUAUUUUGUGAGAUAUAAAGAAAAUAGCAUACGGGUGUAUGUAAGCUAGGAUUUAAAGCUAUUGUUAGGGUUUUGAUGAUAUCUCAAGAUCUGUAAUGAAUUUGAAGUUGAAUUUUUUUGUGAAAGUUUUUGAAAGUAUAUCAAUACUUCAUAUAAAAUUUUAGAUUUUUUGGAUGGUCCGAUCGUGAGAUAUGAGUUGUUGAAGUGUAGAGAAACAUUUCUUAUAAGGAUAUAUAAGGCUUAAAGAUUUUUUAUCAUACAUUUGGAUUUUUUUUGGUAUUUGGGCUUAUGUAUUGAUGUAAUUGUCCUAAAAGGGAAAAUUUUAUAUAUAUAAACUUGGUACUUUUAUAUCUUAGACUUAAUUGAGCAUUUACUGGCAGCUAAAAGUUCAGCGCUUUCUUAAGGCAAACUCUCUCUACCUCAACACCGGCUAGAUAUUUCUUAUGACAUUAGCCAAGUUAGUGGUUCUAUAGCAAAACCACAAGAAUUACAUUUGAAUAUUGUCAAAUGCAUAUUGUACUAUAUGAAACAUAUAUUAGAUUUUGGCAACUUCUAUACAUAAAAAGAAGAUUGUAUAUUGAUGUAGAUUGAGAAACUUAUAUAUAAGAAGACACUCCAUUAGAGCUUACAUCUUUAUACAUGUAGGUAAUUUAAA
This 19776-nucleotide long non-coding RNA is filed under the name Physcomitrium patens. RNAcentral describes it as "long non-coding RNA (PPAT_LNC007817)". Lineage: Eukaryota; Viridiplantae; Streptophyta; Bryopsida; Funariales; Funariaceae. The record is from RNAcentral.